UACGAAGGGGGCUAGCGUUGCUCGGAAUCACUGGGCGUAAAGGGUGCGUAGGCGGGUCUUUAAGUCAGGGGUGAAAUCCUGGAGCUCAACUCCAGAACUGCCUUUGAUACUGAGGAUCUUGAGUUCGGGAGAGGUGAGUGGAACUGCGAGUGUAGAGGUGAAAUUCGUAGAUAUUCGCAAGAACACCAGUGGCGAAGGCGGCUCACUGGCCCGGUUCUGACGCUGAGGCGCGAAAGCGUGGGGAGCAAACAGG
RNAcentral lists this ribosomal RNA (253 nucleotides) under uncultured bacterium. RNAcentral's name for it is "partial 16S ribosomal RNA". It matches the Rfam family "Bacterial small subunit ribosomal RNA", at positions 524 to 776 of the family's 1533-position model. The record is from RNAcentral.